Molecule: long non-coding RNA, 228 nt
Organism: Adelges cooleyi (spruce gall adelgid)
Lineage: Eukaryota; Metazoa; Arthropoda; Insecta; Hemiptera; Adelgidae
Exons: 3
Source: RefSeq, a predicted model, not a curated record
GGUUAUUUUGACACAUAUAGCUGUGGCUUCGUGUACGGUAGUGUUUCUAUUGUUAAUAAUAUCAAUGAACUUUUACAAGGGAGAAAUGACGGAUCUCGUACAUUCGUUGAAAAUGUUUUCUGGUUUUACUAUUUAUGUGUUCCAAUUAUUUACCACGUGUUACCUGUAUGGAAAUCUAAAAAUUCAGAACGAUUCGACCAAUUUUUCAAUAUAUAGCUGCAACUGGAC